RNAcentral lists this transfer RNA (69 nucleotides) under Oncylocotis sp. PJ-2015. RNAcentral describes it as "tRNA-Val". Lineage: Eukaryota; Metazoa; Arthropoda; Insecta; Hemiptera; Enicocephalidae. The record is from RNAcentral.
UAAAUUGUAACUUAAGAAAGUAUUAUUUUUUACAUUAAUAAUUUAAUUGUGCAAAUCAAUUCAAUUUAA